ACGGGAGGCAGCAGUAGGGAAUCUUCCACAAUGGGCGAAAGCCUGAUGGAGCAACGCCGCGUGAGUGAAGAAGGUUUUCGGAUCGUAAAACUCUGUUGUAAGGGAAGAACAAGUACAGUAGUAACUGGCUGUACCUUGACGGUACCUUAUUAAAAAGCCACGGCUAACUACCUGCCAACAGCCGCGGUAAUACCUAAGUGGCAAGCGUUGUCCGGAAUUAUUGGGCGUAAAGCGCGCGCAGGCGGUCCUUUAAGUCUGAUGUGAAAGCCCACGGCUCAACCGUGGAGGGUCAUUGGAAACUGGGGGACUUGAGUGCAGAAGAGGAAAGUGGAAUUCCAAGUGUAGCGGUGAAAUGCGUAGAGAUUUGGAGGAACACCAGUGGCGAAGG
RNAcentral lists this ribosomal RNA (388 nucleotides) under uncultured Lysinibacillus sp. RNAcentral's name for it is "bacterial SSU rRNA". It matches the Rfam family "Bacterial small subunit ribosomal RNA", at positions 341 to 721 of the family's 1533-position model. The record is from RNAcentral. Lineage: Bacteria; Bacillati; Bacillota; Bacilli; Caryophanales; Bacillaceae.